UCACUAUGAUGAUUGGUUGCCAGACAUUCGCAGUUUCCACCAGAAAUGUUUUUCCUUAUGUUGGCCAGUUCUUCCUUGGAUGUCUGAGUGAG
Molecule: small nucleolar RNA, 92 nt
Filed under: Homo sapiens (human)
Lineage: Eukaryota; Metazoa; Chordata; Mammalia; Primates; Hominidae
Description: small nucleolar RNA, C/D box 14A (SNORD14A)
Rfam family: Small nucleolar RNA SNORD14
About the family: U14 small nucleolar RNA (U14 snoRNA) is required for early cleavages of eukaryotic precursor rRNAs. In yeasts, this molecule possess a stem-loop region (known as the Y-domain) which is essential for function.
Source: RNAcentral